This 100-nucleotide non-coding RNA is filed under the name Caryophanon tenue. RNAcentral's name for it is "TPP sequence". It matches the Rfam family "TPP riboswitch aptamer (THI element)". From Rfam's summary of the family: Vitamin B(1) in its active form thiamin pyrophosphate (TPP) is an essential coenzyme that is synthesised by coupling of pyrimidine and thiazole moieties in bacteria. The previously detected thiamin-regulatory element, thi box was extended, resulting in a new, highly conserved RNA secondary structure, the THI element, which is widely distributed in eubacteria and also occurs in some archaea. The record is from Rfam by way of RNAcentral. Lineage: Bacteria; Bacillati; Bacillota; Bacilli; Caryophanales; Caryophanaceae.
CUUUAAUUGCGGGGGGACACGACGAGUGUUGAGAAGGUUAAAACCUGACCCUUAGAACCUGACAGUUAAUACUGGCGUAGGGAGCAAUGAGUGGCAGCAG